RNAcentral lists this unclassified non-coding RNA (338 nucleotides) under soil metagenome. RNAcentral describes it as "partial contains 5.8S ribosomal RNA, internal transcribed spacer 2, and large subunit ribosomal RNA". The stretch from base 1 to 120 matches the Rfam family "5.8S ribosomal RNA", at positions 35 to 154 of the family's 154-position model. The record is from RNAcentral.
GAUGAAGAACGCAGCGAAAUGCGAUACGUAGUGUGAAUUGCAGAAUUCAGUGAAUCAUCGAAUCUUUGAACGCACAUUGCACCUCUCGGUAUUCCGGGAGGUAUGCCUGUUCGAGCGUCAUUUGUACCCUCAAGCUCUGCUUGGUGUUGGGUGUUUGUUCCGCCUCUGUGUGUGAACUCGCCUCAAAACAAUUGGCAGCCGGCGUACUUGUUUCGGAGCGCAGCACAUUUUGCGAUCCAGAUCAACGUACAGCGGCAUCCAAGAAGCCUUAUUUAACGCUCUGACCUCGGAUCAGGUAGGGAUACCCGCUGAACUUAAGCAUAUCAAUAAGCGGAGGA